RNAcentral lists this long non-coding RNA (1288 nucleotides) under Takifugu rubripes (torafugu). RNAcentral describes it as "lncRNA (ENSTRUG00000027835.1)". The record is from RNAcentral. Lineage: Eukaryota; Metazoa; Chordata; Actinopteri; Tetraodontiformes; Tetraodontidae.
AUGACCCUGUGGAGAGUUCAAGCAGCACCACGGACCAGAUCAGAUCUGCUUGUCUCUGCUGCUCUGACCUGGAGGAACAGUACAGACAUGCAUCAUGUCAUUCGCACCUCGCUAUCUUUAUUUAAAAGUUCCUUUUCUGGACGUCUCGCCGUUGACCUUCUUUGUGUUAAAUCACUGUCACCUUUACGCCGCCGACUCACCACGGCAGACAGCCAGCCAGCGCUGGAGGCCAGUGUUUGGUCUCCUCUCACACUUCCUGACUGGCUGUUUUCCAGGACGCUGUUAUUGUUUCAGCUUUUUCAGACAAGCGCCAUUAGUGUGGCGUCUCCUCCCGCCACCACCGCCAUCGUGAGUGCACGGGGUCAGCUGAUCCUGUUAGAAAGAGCAAGGUCAGUCUCACACACACACACACACACACACACACACACACACAGACACCUCCUGCAGUGAUGGUGUGAAGGAUUACUCACGGAGACAAGGAGGGAAUCAGAAAGUCGGAGGUGGCAGACGACAUGCCGGAGGAAGUCGAACACAUACGCGUAAUGGAAAGCUGCGUCUUGUUUCCUGUUUACAGCCUCGCAAAUGCUAUUUUGACUCUCUCUCUAUUAUGAGUGAACCCUUCAAAUUUAACAAUAGAGAGCAUCUCGGGAAAAAAAGAGUUGCAGCUAAGACUGUCCACGCUUAGAGCCACAAUCAUGUCUGCUUCGUGUCCUCGCUGUAAGUUUCAAAUCAAAUCAGAAAAUACAGCUCCCAAAACAACCAUACAGCACGUGUCCACACGGACACACAUGGAUGGGAGGCGUGAUAGGCGAACAGGCGGCGUGCCGAAAAGGCGUUGUGGCCUGAAGACUUUUGCACUGACUCACACCUCUCACCCUCCCACGUGACCUCUGACCUGCAUCCAAACGUAUUAUGUGUAAUCUUAGCUUAAUGAAGCAUAACGAUGCCCUGAAUCAUAACAGUCAUUUUUGGUGAUAUGAUUUGAAGACACGUGACUCAGUUUAGAUUUUUUUGCAAUAGAUGAGAAAUGACCCUCACUGACCUGGAACACCGAAACAAUCAGAGCCGAUGUCAAUGAGCGCCAUCCAGGUGAAAUAAAUACAUCCCACAUCUCUGAUGGAGCUGAUCAACUUUCCCAUCAUGUGGAACCCUUGAAGCCGUAUUUUACCUGCUGCUUAAUUGUCAGUGUGCGUGACCGCUGAAAUGUUCGAUCCUGUUUACUGGAACUCCGCCCACAUCAUAUCUAUCAAACUCCAGCAGUCACAAAAUCAACUCCCUCUUGUUUUUC